Molecule: ribosomal RNA, 465 nt
Filed under: Vreelandella stevensii
Lineage: Bacteria; Pseudomonadati; Pseudomonadota; Gammaproteobacteria; Oceanospirillales; Halomonadaceae
Description: partial 16S ribosomal RNA
Rfam family: Bacterial small subunit ribosomal RNA
Source: RNAcentral
CCUACGGGAGGCAGCAGUGGGGAAUAUUGGACAAUGGGGGCAACCCUGAUCCAGCCAUGCCGCGUGUGUGAAGAAGGCCCUCGGGUUGUAAAGCACUUUCAGUGAGGAAGAACGCCUGGUGGUUAAUACCCAUCAGGAAAGACAUCACUCACAGAAGAAGCACCGGCUAACUCCGUGCCAGCAGCCGCGGUAAUACGGAGGGUGCGAGCGUUAAUCGGAAUUACUGGGCGUAAAGCGCGCGUAGGUGGCUUGAUAAGCCGGUUGUGAAAGCCCCGGGCUCAACCUGGGAACGGCAUCCGGAACUGUCAAGCUAGAGUGCAGUAGAGGAAGGUAGAAUUCCCGGUGUAGCGGUGAAAUGCGUAGAGAUCGGGAGGAAUACCAGUGGCGAAGGCGGCCUUCUGGACUGACACUGACGCUGAGGUGCGAAAGCGUGGGUAGCAAACAGGAUUAGAUACCCGAGUAGUC